UACGAAGGGGGCUAGCGUUGCUCGGAAUGACUGGGCGUAAAGGGAGCGUAGGUGGCCUUAUAAGUCAGUGGUGAAAUCUCUGGGCUUAACCCAGAAAUUGCCAUUGAUACUGUAGGGCUUGAGUAUAGUUGCCGUUGGCGGAAUAUGACAUGUAGUGGUGAAAUACAUAGAGAUGUCAUAGAACACCGAUUGCGAAGGCAGCUAACGAAACUAUAACUGACACUGAGGCUCGAAAGUGCGGGGAUCAAACAGG
This 253-nucleotide ribosomal RNA is filed under the name uncultured bacterium. RNAcentral's name for it is "partial 16S ribosomal RNA". It matches the Rfam family "Bacterial small subunit ribosomal RNA", at positions 524 to 776 of the family's 1533-position model. The record is from RNAcentral.